GCGGAUGUGGCGGAACUGGUAGACGCACUGGAUUUAGGUUCCAGCGCCGCAAGGCGUGGGGGUUCGACUCCCUUCAUCCGCA
RNAcentral lists this transfer RNA (82 nucleotides) under Roseibium suaedae. RNAcentral's name for it is "Labrenzia sp. YC6927 tRNA". It matches the Rfam family "tRNA". Rfam says of the family: Transfer RNA (tRNA) molecules are approximately 80 nucleotides in length. Their secondary structure includes four short double-helical elements and three loops (D, anti-codon, and T loops). Further hydrogen bonds mediate the characteristic L-shaped molecular structure. tRNAs have two regions of fundamental functional importance: the anti-codon, which is responsible for specific mRNA codon recognition, and the 3' end, to which the tRNAs corresponding amino acid is attached (by aminoacyl-tRNA synthetases). tRNAs cope with the degeneracy of the genetic code in two manners: having more than one tRNA (with a specific anti-codon) for a particular amino acid; and 'wobble' base-pairing, i.e. permitting non-standard base-pairing at the 3rd anti-codon position. Lineage: Bacteria; Pseudomonadati; Pseudomonadota; Alphaproteobacteria; Hyphomicrobiales; Stappiaceae. The record is from Rfam by way of RNAcentral.